GGUCGAGUUACGCUUGCACAAAACUUAAACGUCAUUGGUCACGGAACUUUGCGUACCAAAAACUUUCAUCUCGACAAGCAUGGUCACGAAAACGCACCAAUGCGUCGCAACGAUGGCGUCACGUUCAAAGAACACGAUGACGAUGAAACUAAAUCAUUCUCGCGAUGGAGAUCUGCCAUGCAUGUGAAGUUGUCUCGCCGAGAAGC
This 206-nucleotide unclassified non-coding RNA is filed under the name Hevea brasiliensis (rubber tree). Lineage: Eukaryota; Viridiplantae; Streptophyta; Magnoliopsida; Malpighiales; Euphorbiaceae. The record is from RNAcentral.